This 382-nucleotide ribosomal RNA is filed under the name uncultured bacterium. Its description in RNAcentral is "bacterial SSU rRNA". It matches the Rfam family "Bacterial small subunit ribosomal RNA", at positions 1000 to 1383 of the family's 1533-position model. The record is from RNAcentral.
UAUGUAAUGUACUCUUUCUUCGGAGCAUCGGUGACAGGUGGUGCAUGGUUGUCGUCAGCUCGUGUCGUGAGAUGUUGGGUUAAGUCCCGCAACGAGCGCAACCCCUGUCCUUAGUAGCCAGCAUUUUGGAUGGGCACUCUAGGGAGACUGCCAGGGAUAACCUGGAGGAAGGCGGGGAUGACGUCAAAUCAUCAUGCCCCUUAUGACUUGGGCUACACACGUGCUACAAUGGCGUAAACAAAGGGAAGCGAAACCGCGACUGCGAGCAAAUCUCAAAAAUAACGUCUCAGUUCGGACUGUAGUCUGCAACCCGACUACACGAAGCUGGAAUCGCUAGUAAUCGCAAAUCAAAAUGCUGCGGUGAAUACGUUCCCGGGUCUUG